GACGAACGCUGGCGGCGUGCUUAACACAUGCAAGUCGAGCGGUAAGGGCCCUUUCGGGGGUACACGAGCGGCGAACGGGUGAGUAACACGUGGGUGACCUGCCCUCAGCUCUGGGAUAAGCCUGGGAAACCGGGUCUAAUACCGGAUAUGACUCCAUGACGCAUGUUGUGGGGUGGGAAAGCCUUGUGCGGCUGAGGAUGGGGCCCGCGGCCUAUCAGCUUGUUGGUGGGGUAAUGGCCUACCAAGGCGACGACGGGUAGCCGGCCUGAGAGGGCGACCGGCCACACUGGGACUGAGACACGGCCCAGACUCCUACGGGAGGCAGCAGUGGGGAAUCUUGCGCAAUGGGCGAAAGCCUGACGCAGCGACGCCGCGUGAGGGAUGACGGCCU
Molecule: ribosomal RNA, 391 nt
Filed under: uncultured bacterium
Lineage: Bacteria
Description: bacterial SSU rRNA
Rfam family: Bacterial small subunit ribosomal RNA
Source: RNAcentral